AGAGCGAACGCUGGCGGCAGGCUUAACACAUGCAAGUCGAGCGCCCCGCAAGGGGAGCGGCAGACGGGAGAGUAACACGUGGGAACGUACCUUUCGGUUCGGAACAACCCAGGGAAACUUGGGCUAAUACCGGAUACGCCCGUAAGGGGAAAGAUUAUCGCCGGAAGAUCGGCCCGCGUCUGAUUAGCUAGUUGGUGAGGUAACGGCUCACCAAGGCGACGAUCAGUAGCUGGUCUGAGAGGAUGAUCAGCCUCACUGGGACUGAGACACGGCCCAGACUCCUACGGGAGGCAGCAGUGGGGAAUAUUGGACAAUGGGCGCAAGCCUGAUCCAGCCAUGCCGCGUGGGUGAUGAAGGCCCUAGGGUUGUAAAGCCCUUUCGGCGGGGGAAGAGUAAUGACGGUACCCGCAGAAGAACGCCCCGGCUAACUUCGCGCCAGCAGCCGC
RNAcentral lists this ribosomal RNA (446 nucleotides) under uncultured bacterium. RNAcentral describes it as "SSU rRNA". It matches the Rfam family "Bacterial small subunit ribosomal RNA", at positions 26 to 518 of the family's 1533-position model. The record is from RNAcentral.